UAACGGGGUGUAGAAGGGGGGAGAGGGUGUGAGAGGGUGUGAGAAGGGUGUGAGAGGGGGUAUGUGUGAUGGGGAGGUCAGGACAGAAGGGAGAGACAGGGUAUUGAAAGAAAGGAUGGGACCAGUUUGGGGACUUAUAUUUUCAGAUGGGGUGAGAAAAGGGGUGAUUAACGGGGUGUAGAAGGGGGGAGAGGGUGUAAGAAGGGUGUGAGAGGGUGUAUGUGUGAUGGGAAGGUCAGGAAAAAGUGCCCACAACUCCCAAGAAAGCCUUGUCGAAUGUGUGUUUUUAGGUUCACGGUACAGAGGAAGGGUCACACUACCACCAGGGUCAUGAAACUACCCCUGGAAAUGCCCACAACUCCUACGAAAGCCUUGUCAAAUGUGUGUUUUUAGGUUCACGGUACAGAGGAAGGGUCACACUACCACCAGGGUCAUGAAACUAUCCCUGGAAAUGCCCACAACUCCUACGAAAGCCUUGUCAAAUGUGUGUUUUUAGGUUCACGGUACAGAGGAAGCGUCACACUACCACCAGGGUCAUAAAACUACCCCUGGAAAUGCCCACAACUCCUACGAAAGCCUUGUCAAAUGUGUGUUUUUAGGUUCACGGUACAGAGGAAGGGUCACACUACCACCAGGGUCAUUAAACUACCCCUGGAAAUGCCCACAACUCCUACGAAAGCCUUGUCAAAUGUGUGUUUUUAGGUUCACGGUACAGAGGAAGGGUCACACUACCACCAGGGUCAUGAAACUACCCCUGGAAAUGCCCACAACUCCUACGAAAGCCUUGUCGAAUGUGUGUUUUUAGGUUCACGGUACAGAGGAAGGGUCACACUACCACCAGGGUCAUGAAACUAUCCCUGGAAAUGCCCACAACUCCUACGAAAGCCUCGUCGAAUGUGUUUUUAGGUUCAUGGUACAGAAGAAGGGUCACACUACCACCAGGGUCAUGAAUCUACCGCUGGAAAUGCCCACAACUUCUAGGAAAGCCUUGUCAAAUGUGUGUUUUUGAGGUUAACGGUACAGAGGAAAGGUCACACUACCACCAGGGUCAUAAAACUACCCCUGGAAAUGCCCACAACUCCUACGAAAGCCUUGUCAAAUUUGUGUUUUGAGGCUAACGGUACAGAGGAAAGGUCAUACUACCAUCAAGGUCAUCAAACAGCUCCUGGAAAUGCUCACAACUCCUACGAAAGCCUCGUCGAAUGUGUUUUUAGGUUCAUGGUACAGAGGAAGCGUCACACUACCACCAGGGUCAUGAAACUACCGCUGGAAAUGCGCACAACUCCUACGAAAGCCUUGUCAAAUGUGUGUUUUUGAGGUUAACGGUACAGAGGAAGCGUCACACUACCACCAGGGUCAUAAAACUAUCCCUGGAAAUGCCCACAACUUCUACGAAAGCCUUGUCAAAUGUGUGUUUCUUUAGGUUCACGGUACAGAGGAAGCGUCACACUACCACCAGGGUCAUAAAACUACCCCUGGAAAUGCCCACAACUCCAAGGAAAGCCUUGUCGAAUGUCUGUUUUUAGGUUCAUGGUACAGAGGAAGGGUCACACUACCACCAGGGUCAUAAAACUACCCCUGGAAAUGCCCACAACUCCUAGGAAAGCCUUGUCAAAUGUGUGUUUUUGAGGUUAACGGUACAGAGGAAAGGUCACACUACCACCAGGGUCAUAAAACAGCUCCUGGAAAUGCCUUGUCGAAUGCAUAUUUUUUGGAAAAGAAAAAUUAAAGGAAAAAUAAUAAUAAUAAUAAUAAUGAUAUUUUGAAAGUUUGAAGACAGG
Molecule: long non-coding RNA, 1781 nt
Organism: Eriocheir sinensis (Chinese mitten crab)
Lineage: Eukaryota; Metazoa; Arthropoda; Malacostraca; Decapoda; Varunidae
Exons: 3
Source: RefSeq, a predicted model, not a curated record